GAUGAACGCUGGCGGCGUGCCUAAUACAUGCAAGUCGAGCGAACGGACGAGAAGCUUGCUUCUCUGAUGUUAGCGGCGGACGGGUGAGUAACACGUGGAUAACCUACCUAUAAGACUGGGAUAACUUCGGGAAACCGGAGCUAAUACCGGAUAAUAUUUUGAACCGCAUGGUUCAAAAGUGAAAGACGGUCUUGCUGUCACUUAUAGAUGGAUCCGCGCUGCAUUAGCUAGUUGGUAAGGUAACGGCUUACCAAGGCAACGAUGCAUAGCCGACCUGAGAGGGUGAUCGGCCACACUGGAACUGAGACACGGUCCAGACUCCUACGGGAGGCAGCAGUAGGGAAUCUUCCGCAAUGGGCGAAAGCCUGACGGAGCAACGCCGCGUGAGUGAUGAANGUCUUCGGAUCGUNAAACUCUGUUAUUAGGGAAGAACAUAUGUGUAAGUAACUGUGCACAUCUUGACGGUACCUAAUCAGAAAGCCACGGCUAACUACGUGCCAGCAGCCGCGGUAAUACGUAGGUGGCAAGCGUUAUCCGGAAUUAUUGGGCGUAAAGCGCGCGUAGCGGUUUUUUAAGUCUGAUGUGAAAGCCCACGGCUCACCCGUGGAGGGUCAUUGGAAACUGGAAAACUUGAGUGCAGAAGAGGAAAGUGGAAUUCCAUGUGUAGCGGUGAAAUGCGCAGAGAUAUGGAGGAACACCAGUGGCGAAGGCGACUUUCUGGUCUGUAACUGACGCUGAUGUGCGAAAGCGUGGGGAUCAAACAGGAUUAGAUACCCUGGUAGUCCACGCCGUAAACGAUGAGUGCUAAGUGUUAGGGGGUUUCCGCCCCUUAGUGCUGCAGCUAACGCAUUAAGCACUCCGCCUGGGGAGUACGACCGCAAGGUUGAAACUCAAAGGAAUUGACGGGGACCCGCACAAGCGGUGGAGCAUGUGGUUUAAUUCGAAGCAACGCGAAGAACCUUACCAAAUCUUGACAUCCUUUGACAACUCUAGAGAUAGAGCCUUCCCCUUCGGGGGACAAAGUGACAGGUGGUGCAUGGUUGUCGUCAGCUCGUGUCGUGAGAUGUUGGGUUAAGUCCCGCAACGAGCGCAACCCUUAAGCUUAGUUGCCAUCAUUAAGUUGGGCACUCUAAGUUGACUGCCGGUGACAAACCGGAGGAAGGUGGGGAUGACGUCAAAUCAUCAUGCCCCUUAUGAUUUGGGCUACACACGUGCUACAAUGGACAAUACAAAGGGCAGCGAAACCGCGAGGUCAAGCAAAUCCCAUAAAGUUGUUCUCAGUUCGGAUUGUAGUCUGCAACUCGACUACAUGAAGCUGGAAUCGCUAGUAAUCGUAGAUCAGCAUGCUACGGUGAAUACGUUCCCGGGUCU
RNAcentral lists this ribosomal RNA (1371 nucleotides) under uncultured bacterium. Its description in RNAcentral is "bacterial SSU rRNA". It matches the Rfam family "Bacterial small subunit ribosomal RNA", at positions 28 to 1381 of the family's 1533-position model. The record is from RNAcentral.